Molecule: long non-coding RNA, 441 nt
Organism: Passer montanus (Eurasian tree sparrow)
Lineage: Eukaryota; Metazoa; Chordata; Aves; Passeriformes; Passeridae
Exons: 4
Source: RefSeq, a predicted model, not a curated record
ACAUGGACAAAUCACCCAGAGAGCCUUUCAGAGACAUUGGACACCACCAAGAGGGCUUGGGUUGUCAGUCCUUCCUGCUCUGACCAACUGCACCGUGUGUGUGGCUCUGGGGACUUAUAUUUUCAUUCCAGGAGGAUUUUAGGCUUCUGUGCAACCUGCUGUGUCUGUGCUUUGUGCAUUUUGAGCAUAGGGCUUUGAAUCCAUUGUAAUGCUGCAUUCAAGUCAGGUAAAAUCACCUGAAAAAUUCCCUUGUGUGACUGAAGCAACCUGGUAUGGAAAUCAAAAACACCUGUGCUGGAUGAAGCUUGGCCUGUGACUGGAACGUUUUGGAAAGCACAUGUAAAAAUGAACACAGCAGACUCUGUGAGGAGCAGACUUUUAUAGGACAACCUUUCAUUAUCACCAGGCAUAUUCAUAAAAAUAAAGAACUCAUUGACCAGA